Molecule: transfer RNA, 71 nt
Filed under: Arabidopsis thaliana (thale cress)
Lineage: Eukaryota; Viridiplantae; Streptophyta; Magnoliopsida; Brassicales; Brassicaceae
Rfam family: tRNA
About the family: Transfer RNA (tRNA) molecules are approximately 80 nucleotides in length. Their secondary structure includes four short double-helical elements and three loops (D, anti-codon, and T loops). Further hydrogen bonds mediate the characteristic L-shaped molecular structure. tRNAs have two regions of fundamental functional importance: the anti-codon, which is responsible for specific mRNA codon recognition, and the 3' end, to which the tRNAs corresponding amino acid is attached (by aminoacyl-tRNA synthetases). tRNAs cope with the degeneracy of the genetic code in two manners: having more than one tRNA (with a specific anti-codon) for a particular amino acid; and 'wobble' base-pairing, i.e. permitting non-standard base-pairing at the 3rd anti-codon position.
Source: Rfam by way of RNAcentral
GGUCGCUUAGCUCAGUUGAUAGAGCACCACAUUUUUUGUGGUAGAAAUCGGUUUGAAUCCGAUAGCGGCUU